RNAcentral lists this ribosomal RNA (413 nucleotides) under uncultured prokaryote. RNAcentral describes it as "bacterial SSU rRNA". It matches the Rfam family "Bacterial small subunit ribosomal RNA", at positions 505 to 918 of the family's 1533-position model. The record is from RNAcentral.
GUGUCAGCAGCCGCGGUAAUACGUAGGGUGCGAGCGUUAAUCGGAAUUACUGGGCGUAAAGCGUGCGCAGGCGGUUUUGUAAGUCAGAUGUGAAAUCCCCGGGCUUAACCUGGGAACUGCGUUUGAAACUACAAGGCUAGAGUGUAGCAGAGGGGGGUGGAAUUCCACGUGUAGCAGUGAAAUGCGUAGAGAUGUGGAGGAACACCGAUGGCGAAGGCAGCCCCCUGGGUUAACACUGACGCUCAGGCACGAAAGCGUGGGGAGCAAACAGGAUUAGAUACCCUGGUAGUCCACGCCCUGAACUAUGUCAACUAGUUGUCGGGCCUUAACGGGCUUGGUAACGCAGCUAACGCGUGAAGUUGACCGCCUGGGGAGUACGGUCGCAAGAUUAAAACUUAAAUGAAUUGACGGGG